AAAAACUAAAUACUACCUAAGAUUGUCUCGUUUAAUAAAAGAAGGCCGAAGACGGUCCCUUCCUUCUUCCCUCUUCUCUUUUCUCUCUGCAAAAGCCAUUGAAACCUAAUGUAUGAAACCCAAAUUCUUCUUCCAAAUUCCCAAAUUAAAUCUUUCACUUUUGUUUAAUCACAAGAUGUGAACCUACUUUAUGAAACCCAAAAGCCCUAACACCAUUUGUAUUUUAAGAUUGUACUCAAAUAAGGUAAUGUAUUCAAACCCCAAAUCCUUUUGGGUGUUAAAUGCAGUUAGCAAGAGUGACUAUUUCAUCACAUUCACCUCUAAUUUAUUUAACCCAUUUGAAAUCUACAGGAGUAGAAAGCAAUUUUUCCAACAAUAUCAUCGUGUAAAGCCCUUCUCGGUGUUGACGAUCUCUUUGCUGGGUAAGUUAUUUUUAUUGAAAUUCUAAACUUUUUGGUGAUUGCAUGUUUGGUAUUCCUCUCAAAAUUCUGAAAUGAGAUGUUGUGUGGUAUGGGUCUGUUAUUUUUCCUGAUAUUUUUCGACAAAAUUCCAUAGAGCAGUUUUUUACGCGAUUCUUUGUUGUGUGGUAUGCCCUAAGUUUCUUAUUUCUGAGAGUGAAAAAAACCACUGCCUUAUGGGUAGAUAUGAUACUGCUCUUGCUGCACAAACAAUUGAUUUUCUGCGCAAGAAAAUCUCUGCCUUAUGGGUUUUAGUUGUUGGACUUUUCAAGAGUUAUGUCUGUAACUCUUUUCUGAUACAUUGUGUGAUGCUUGGUAUUUUGAUAUGUAUUUUAAUUAGAAGGUUGCCCUAUUGCUUUUUAGAAUUAAAACCAAAAACUGCUCUUCUCUGUUCUCACAAAGCUCAAUUGAAGUAUAUUUGGGAAAUAUUUUGUUCUUCAUAGGCCUUCCGAACUAAAAUUAGUAGGUCCACACUGGUCAAGGCAAAAUCGUUAUUAGCAGAAUUAGGCUUAUUUUAUGCACAAAUAUAACACUAUGCUAGGAUAGAGAACAUACAGAGUUGAAACUGGCAGCGGUAGCCUCUUCAGUGUCAUCUUCAGGUAAAAUGCCAAUUUCAACAAGUUCCAGUAGCUCUUUCCUAGAUAUGUUCCAGUCUUGCUCCCUUUGUUCAUCAAAUUUCUACCAAAAAAGCUUGACGUUUUCCACUCCUUACUUUACAGUUCACGCUCAUAAACACUACUAUUUCUGAGCUGGUGCAGUAUAUUAUUAACUAAGUAUUUACUUUUAGCAUAAUCAAACUAAUGUUUUAAACAAUUUUCAGCUUGAAACGGGAAACGGGAAGAACAGAAAUUGAAUUUUAUGUUUAAUUAGUCUUUCCAGUUGGAAGGUUGGGGGCGCGAUUUUCUUUAGCUGCUUCAUAAAUAUCUCCUAUAAAUUCUAUUCCUAAAAACCGGCAAUCGUAGACUGCUUUUGUUUAUCUAUUAUGACGGAUGGAGGGCCCCAAAUCGAGUGGCGGCUGGUUGCCCUUUAAAUUAUGUAGGUAGAAGAAACUAUUAAAUAGAUAAUGAGUAGGUGAAUGAGGGCUGGAAGGAACGAUUGGAAGGAGAACACCAGGAAAGUUAUCUUUAAAAAAAAGAAAAGGAACAAGGCGAGAGUGGGAGGGCAUGAACGAGAAGAAUAGGUCAAUGAGAUAAUAAUCUGCGAGAGGUCAUCUGAUGUUGUUCGUGACAAGGAAAAAGAACUUGCUGUGGGAAUGUUAGCUGUUCUUUCUCCUGGAAACAUUAUCCACGUUACCUUGUAAAACACGUGUUGAUACAUAUAUGGACCAAGAAUAGCUAGUUUUAAUUAGGCGGCGACAACUAUUAUGCAUUUAUAGAUGAGCUUGAUACGGUUCAAGUUUAUGAAGAAUGAAAGAAUCCAGCCCCUUCUCCUCCUUGUCAUCAUCAUUUAUGUUUCUGUCGUAACACAUUGACUUGAUUUCUCGGGUUAAAAUGAGACGUGAGACGCAUUGAUGUUGGAGUUUUUUUUCCCUUCCAUUUGUCGCUUAUGUGAUCCGUGUAUCUGUUGAUUUAUUGUUUUGUCUGGCGUAUCUUUCUUCAGUUUUAUACAUUAAUGCAUUAACAAAUCCUGGGUCGACGGUGAGAGCACUGUUGGCUAUUAAGUGGUGCUUUAUAUGACCUUUAAAGUUAACUUAGGUAUAGAUAGACAAAGGAUCUGUGAAUGAAGCUAAUUAUAUCUAAUAUGUGAGUAUUACGGUUCAUUUUCUAUUUUACAAUUUGGAAAGUACUAAACAACAGUAGCACCUACUUUAGAAAGCUUACAAACUAUAUACGGUUAUUUUGUUUCAUUUGUGAAUUUUAGUGGGUGGCAGUCAUGUCAUUGUGGAAGUGAUCGUAGAAUACUUCAUUGAAUUUUGUUGAUAGUUUGUAUUUGCUAGCUCUUCUUUCUUCAGAAGAGCAUCUACAGAUGUAGAUCAAGAAACAGCUUUUACUUAUACUAUUAUUAGACUUCGUCUUAAGAGCUGCCAGUUGGAAGUGUUUUUGGGAUCAUCAUUUCCUUAUUUAUCACCAAUUGAAAUAUGAUAAUGAAACUAGAAAUUCUGGGGAACUAUAGGCUUCGUAUUAUAGGCUUAUCAUUUUUAAGCCCAUGGUUCAGUAUUAUUAUUGGUUGAUGAUGAUAUCAAAAUCAUACAACUCUUUCAUUCAUAACGUGUUAUUCCUGCAUUUCUUCUUCCUUUUUUGUUCUUUCCAGGGUUAGUCGGGGUUUCUUGCACACAGUCCCUAGAACCUCUUUGAUUAUAUUAGUAAUAGGUACCACCAAAUUAAUUACAACUGAUUUGUUCUCUUGAGCCGAGGGUCUUUCGGAAUCAGCCUCUCUACCCUUCGGGGUAGGGGUAAGGUCUGCGUACACACUACCCUCCCCAGACCCCAUUAGUGGGAUUUCACUGGGUUGUUGUUGUUGUUGUUGAUUUGAUGAGUCAUUUGCCAAUAUAGGGUUGGUAUGGUGCGUUUUAUGAACAGAAUGUGAUUAAAAUAGGUAUGUAAAAAUGAUAAUGGAGAAAUUGUGUGGUGGAUCCACAAUCCCAACAAAUUCAUGUAAUAUUCUUAAAUCACUGAGAUGAGUCGAAAGUUGCAAGAAGAACAUGAACAAAUGGAUGCCGAAUUAAAAAGUAACAUGGAACAAGAGUGCAAAGGAAGUUGGAAGAGAAACUUGAGCACGUGAAUACGGAAGUAGACAACCGGAUCAGUGUAGAAGUAGCCAAGAGGAUUCAAGAACAACUUGCUGCUAUCAUGACUGGAAUGCAACAGGUGAUCUACUCUUAAUGUUUUUGUACUCUUCUUACUCUUCCUUCAGUGUAUUUAGUUCACUAUAAAAUGUCAACCAACACAUAUGUAUCUAGCAUUAUACAAUUGAUAUUUAUGUUACCAUCAGCCCUUUUUUAGUUCAUUACUGCCAUCAGUCCAAUAUUUCUAAAAGGCUAAUAUUAGUUCAUUUCUUGCGCUCAUUGUGCUGGUUCGUGUUUGUCAAUGCUAGACUUGAGAUUCUUUUUUGGAUAAGUCUUCAUAGUAUUAGCAAAAAGCUAGCCAUUUCUCCUUCUCCUAUGUUUUCAAACAACUUUGGUUGGAUUUUGGAGGAUCCAAAUAUUCCUACAGUUGGAUAGUUAUAGAUAAAUUUACUUUCUACACCAAAGUAGUUGCAUAUAGCUUUUGCAAUUCGAUGUAGUACCCUUGUUGAAGGCUAUAUAAACAUUUUGUUGAUGCUAUAUAAACAUUGUGUUGAUCCAGUAUCAUUGAAGGCUAUAUAAACAGACCUACUGUGUUGCUGCCUUUACUGUGAUGCUUUCAAACUAUUCUGUCUUCAUUUGCUGUAGUUCCUUGAAAUUGUUCCAGAACCUUGAAGAGUUCAGCUAUCCUACUUUAGAAAUCUUCUGAAGUUAAUGUUCUUAUAUGUAUCUUUUUUCACCUUGAUCUUCUAACAAUGUGAAGUUAAGUUAAUGUUCCAGAACCUUGAUUGUUAAUGUUCUUAUAACAAUCUUCAAGCUCUAACAAUGUGAUCUUCUAUUUGUUUCUUUAAUAAUAGGGACAAGGUUCUUAAACAGUGGUGACAAUGAAGGAGGAGCUUGAAGCUAAGGCACUCAAUGUUUUACUUUUUGGUUAUAUAUGACAACGAAGUAUUACGUAGUAUAUAUAUGCGGAGGAACUUAAAGGUUAAGGCACUCAAUAUUUUGCUUUUUGGUUAUAUGUAUAUGCGUACAAUGAAAAUGAAGUAUUACAUAGUGUAUAUGCGGAGGAGCUUGAAGCUAAGGCACUCAAUAUCUUGCAUUUUGGUUAUAUGUAUAUGCGUACAAUGAAAAUGAAGUAUUGCAUAGUAUAUAUGUAAUUGAACUUUUAGUAAUGGAAGUGUUUAGUAUUUGGUUUAGGAAAU
RNAcentral lists this long non-coding RNA (4382 nucleotides) under Nicotiana tabacum (common tobacco). Its description in RNAcentral is "long non-coding RNA (NTAB_LNC012351)". The record is from RNAcentral. Lineage: Eukaryota; Viridiplantae; Streptophyta; Magnoliopsida; Solanales; Solanaceae.